AGAGAGCAGCGUUUGGUCAGACCAUAGAUAAUAUAGAAGACAGCGCGCUAGCAUAGCUAGUCUAUGUAUAUUUAUGGUCAGCACGUCUGGUAGCAUCUCUGGCUGCUGUUGAUCUUGUUUUUGGAGUAAAACACGGUGGAAGCUGAAUUAGUGAGGAUGACUCCCGCUCCUGUCAUCUCUAAGCUCCUCACACAUCUUUACCUGCACAUGAGGAAAAUCACUCCUGUAGAAUGCAGAUGUUCAGAGGGAGAUGAUGCCACAUCUGGUCCAGCUGAUGGAAGGUCUUGAAGUUCUCUGACUGGCCUGGACUGAAGAUGGUCGUCUCACUGGAUUUAAGGUUCAGAUGCUCAGUAACAAACUCCACCAAUGAGCCAACAGGGAAGCUUUAAGUUUAUUAAAUGUUGCUAUGAAGGUUUCUCUAUUUUUCUUUGUGAAUGCAAUGUGCUCCAACUGAAAGUUGAAUUAGAACUUAGAAGUAAAUCCUUCCAUCUGAAAGGAUUUAGUUGCAUUAAUAACCUCAUAACAUUCUAAUUUUUAUUCCAGUGUUGGCUGGAAAUAGAAUCUCUGUAUUGAUUCAGGUAAAAACUGAACUUCACAGCAUGUUGAAGCAAAACAACCAGAUGAAAACUGUGAUGGUGUUGGAUUGUCAGACCGUAAUGUUGCAGCUCAAAGCAGCUUUUCUAGCUCAGUUCAUUCUGACAUUCAGCUAUGAAUCAACACAGCAGAUGGUGAUUCAUGCUGUGGAAGUCUCACAUCUCCUGAUUUAAUGGAGCUGCUUUGCACUUUUUACACUGUUUAUUCACCAACACUUUAUUUAAUAAAAGUCCCAUCUAGUUUUUAUGAGGAAUGUGAUGUUUUAAUUUCUCUGUGAAUAACUGCAGUCUAAUGCAACAGCUGGAGUUGUAACAUCUGUCCUGAUAUUGAUCAUGAAGUAUUGAUCAGAAUACUUAUGGUUAGCAGUCAUCCCUGAAGUUUUACAUUAAAAUCUUUACUUGUGUUGUGAACUUUGGUAAGAAGCAGAAACUUUUGCGUUUCCAUGGAUACAUGAGUGUUAAAUUCUGUCUAUGUUUUUAUUUUGGGAUAUGCAGUCCAGUUCCAGAAUAUGGAGGAAUUUAGUCUCAAUCACAGACAACAAAUAUCUGAAAGUCGGGUUAUUGUUGUUUAUCAGCACAAUACAAAAAGAUUAAUGUUAGAAAUAUUCCAGUUAAGACUCUAGAAUAUCAUGAUUUAUGUAAAUUUACCUCAAUAAUAUGAAUGUUCAGGUUAAGAUUGUACAGUGACAUUUAUUAUGCAAGUUUAGCUGAUUAAAGUUUAUGACUCUGCACUAAAAUAUUAUUUAAAUUGACAUCAUUAUUAUAAUAUUUAGGGUCAGAACCUACAGUAUUGAGAUUAAGAAAUCAAAUAUUCUAUAAAAUGUAAAUACACUGAACUCAUUUGGAUAUAUUUAAGUGAGAGACUACAAUAUUAUUUGACACAAAUCUAUCUAAAUCAAAAUUUUAAUAAUUUUCACACCAAACAUUUACUGGACUGAUUUAAAUGUUAAAAUCACUCCUUUCUAAUCCUCUGCUGUACGUUCAAACCUGAGGCCUUAAAUAGAAACACACAAGUAUCUGAUUGAAGGAACUUCUGCAGAGUCCUGGUUCCAGAACAUGAUGAUAGAAUUAUAGACAAACUUUAACAAAAGCUGCCUGAGAGUUUGCAGGUUUUUAUGUUGGAUUUCUUCAGUAAUUUAAUGAGCGUUAUCAGCAAUAAUCAAGUGUUCAUUUGAUGAACUUGAUUUCCUAAAACAUACAGAAUUGGAGCUCAUAUCUUUGGCAGCUGUAAAGUUUCUGCUCCUUCAAAGUUCACAACACAAUGAAUGAAUUCCUAAAACACUCUCAAUGCUGGAGAGCGUUUGUGAUGCUGAAGCAGUGACCAGUUUUUCUGUUUCUUCUCUGGAGAUGCACAAUGAGGGACGUCUGCAGAGACUGAGAAAGAGUCUCACCACAUCCUGACAUCAGGAAAAAGACUUUAUUGAAGACUACAAUGAGAAAAACUAUCCAGACAGCAGACAGCAUGCAUUCAAGGUGAGCUCUGAACAUUUGAUCUGAAACAGGAAUUCAAUAACUGCAGCAUGAGCUUCAUUUCAGUCUGUAGCUGCUGAAUUCAUGGAUGAAUCAUCUGGCACUAGAGAGGAAGAUCAUCAAACAGCCACGUCAGCUGAUGGAGGUCCAAGAGUCUCACCAAACAAACAACCUACAGAGUGAAGACCUUGAAUCUGGUUGGACGGCCUCCUAUUCAGCCACAUGUGUGAACAAAUGCCUCUAAGCUGAUUUGUUUUCUAAAAUAAAUCUAGUUUGAGUCCUAA
Long non-coding RNA from Amphiprion ocellaris (clown anemonefish), 2347 nucleotides. RefSeq lists it as uncharacterized. Lineage: Eukaryota; Metazoa; Chordata; Actinopteri; Pomacentridae. The transcript is spliced from 3 exons. The record is from RefSeq and is a predicted model, not a curated record.